This 97-nucleotide transfer RNA is filed under the name Streptomyces hiroshimensis. RNAcentral describes it as "tRNA-Gly". Lineage: Bacteria; Bacillati; Actinomycetota; Actinomycetes; Kitasatosporales; Streptomycetaceae. The record is from RNAcentral.
GCGGGGGUGCUGGAGCCGGGCGGUGGGACCGUCUUCGCCGAAGCCGGUGGACAACGCGUCCGCAUCCGGACCGGUUCCGGCGGCCGGUCCACCGCAC